CCAGCAGACACCCACAGCGUCCUGCCCUUCCAGCACCAUCCACAGUUCUUUGGAAGCUGCUCAAGGCAGCCCUGGGAAGUGCAGACAGGGGUGCCCUUGACCUCCUGGGAAAACAGCCCAAGCCCCCCCGUGGGCUCACAGGUACACGUUGAGGGUCUGCAGGAUCACCUGGCGGCACAGGGGGCAGUUGCGCUGGUAGAUGUCCUGCUGCAGGAGCACCUCUGUGCACUCCUGGCACAGGCACAGGUGCCUGCAGGGCAGCAGCAGGACUGUCUUGGUCUGGUCCUGGCAGAUGACACAUUUCUUACGCUCCUCUUGCUCUUUCAGCAGCACCCAGGGGUCGUUGUCAGGGGCUCCCUCAGCGUUCCCGGCUGCGGCGUUCAGCCGCUGCUUCCUCGGGGCUUUCCACCAGGACGUGCCCGGCUCCUCCCUGGAUGUCUGGGGACGCUGCCCUGCCCCAGCACGGCUCAGAGCAGGUCGUGGCUGCGGCCCCUGCUCUGCAUCCAGCUGUUCCUCCAGCUCAGCCAGCAGCUGGCCCAGGGUCACCCUGUCAGCGGCCGGGGCUCUGGGGGCACCCACGGCGCGUCGCUGGUCGCUGCCCUGGUUCACCAUCCUGCCUCCCUGGCUCCAGUUGGUCACCUGCUGGAUCCAGUCCACCAGCCUGCGCCAGGGCUGGGAGGUCACGGCCACUCCCAGGCUCAGCACGGCCACCUGGUAGAGCCGCCAGACGUCCCUCUGCAGGCGGCGCAGGGAGGGCAGCGUGUGCAAGUAGCCCAGCAGGUAUCCCGUCAGCGUCCACAGCAGCCCGGGGUUGAAGGCGAAGGCGCUGACCACCACGAUGAGCAGGAGCAAGCCCAGGCCGUAGACGUUGACGAAGAAGACGCUGAUGAAGAGCUCGGUGGCCGAGCAGAGCAGCUCGAAGGCCAUCUGGCAGGGCGACCACAGCAGGAUGGACACGGCGAUGGCGCCGCUGGACACGUGCGCCAGGAAGGCGGCCAGCAGCUCGGCCACCCUAACGACGGGCCCGGCCAGCGAGUCCCAGAGGGCGGCGAGCAGCGUGAAGAGGUUCUGCGUGCCGAUGAGACACACGUUCACCAGGCUGUUGACCAGGUACAUCAGCAGGCUGGUGCCGAU
This 1134-nucleotide long non-coding RNA is filed under the name Serinus canaria (Common canary). RNAcentral describes it as "lncRNA (ENSSCAG00000008041.1)". Lineage: Eukaryota; Metazoa; Chordata; Aves; Passeriformes; Fringillidae. The record is from RNAcentral.